Non-coding RNA from Pangasianodon gigas (Mekong giant catfish), 74 nucleotides. NCBI's taxonomy places the organism in Eukaryota, Metazoa, Chordata, Actinopteri, Siluriformes, Pangasiidae. The record is from the annotation of a GenBank genome assembly.
AAUAUGUGUAGCACUAAAUAUAUAGAUACAGAUACAGAUUGUGGCAGUGCAUUACACUUCUAAUACACUAUAUG